This 608-nucleotide long non-coding RNA is filed under the name Bos indicus x Bos taurus (hybrid cattle). RNAcentral describes it as "lncRNA (ENSBIXG00000004868.1)". The record is from RNAcentral. Lineage: Eukaryota; Metazoa; Chordata; Mammalia; Artiodactyla; Bovidae.
CAGCUAAAACCUUCUCGAUUGCCUGUCACUAUCCAGAUGGUGGGUAGUUGAGAAAUUACAGUUUGAGCAAGCAGAAAUGCAGAUGUGGUAGUAGCAGGGGAAAAGGAUGAUGGCUGUCUUGGGAAGGAACCAAGAGAGCAAUCUUGGCUUAUUCUGACUUGAGUAUUGUGAAGGUCCUGGGAAGACAGAGUCAAGUUCACAUGAAGGUGUCCAGCCUCAGUGGUUGCUGGUAAAGUGCAUGGGUUUCAUACACAUAAAGGUCCCAGAUAAUCUCGGUGUCUGUAGAGCUUCAUCAUGUAAUGUUUGGUUUAUGGGAAUUCCUUUAAGAUUUCAGCAGAAAGCAUGGUGGCUUGGUUUGAAAUACAUCUGUACAAAAACAAAACAAGCAGCAACAAUAACGAUAGCAAACUGAGAUCUGGAUAAUGGAAGAAGCCAGCCACACAAAGAGGAAAGAGUGUCCCCCACCUCUCUCCUUUUGGGUGUGCCAGAGAAGCCUGCAAUCCCACUGCUUCUAACAGCCUUCUUGUGACUGAGGUAAGAUAGUCUUUGGGGAGAAGCAGAUCAUAGAUAUGGCAGAAAAGGGAGAGAAAAUGGGUCUUGGUAAACCA